This is a long non-coding RNA of Daucus carota subsp. sativus, 761 nucleotides long. RefSeq lists it as uncharacterized. The record is from RefSeq and is a predicted model, not a curated record. NCBI's taxonomy places the organism in Eukaryota, Viridiplantae, Streptophyta, Magnoliopsida, Apiales, Apiaceae. The transcript is spliced from 3 exons.
AACGGAUCAAGGUUUUGUCAUCUUUGAUGUGGUAUAGUCAUUUUCGGGUGGUUAAAGACAUGCAAAAACUAUAGCAAAAUGAUAAGAUGUGUUGCUGUUAAUGUUGGCUAUAAGACCAAACAGCUGCCGUGAUUUGUGCCGCAUACCAUAAUUUCUGCCAUUGAAGAAAAUGGAAUGUGACUUGAUUACAUAGAUCUGACAAUCAAUUACACAUUCACAAUUAAAGGCUGCAUCGCGCAGGUAUUUUGAUGAGCAAAAUUUUGGAGACUCGGGAGUUAGAGUGUGAUAAAUAUUUAAAUCUAUUUUGAUUGAUUUGAAUGCAAAUGCCAGAAAAAGAGUUGAUACAAAUAAAGUUCCGAAUUUAUGAUGGAACAGAUAUUAGUCCGUUUCGAUAUCCACCAACUUCAACUGUUGGUACUCUCAAGGACAGAGUCGUUUCCGAUUGGCCUAAAGGACUAUUUCUGUAAGAGAGCUGUAGUGGAUUUGAGGAUCCCAGAAUAUAGUAUAUGAAGAAGGGAAUAGGGCUUUCAAUGAGGCUGUAUUGCAGAUCCAACAGAAUUUCCUCUGGGAUAGAGAAAGGACUUGUAUGAAGUUGCAGGGUUGGAAGUCACCAUAGAUUCAGCUAAGCAGAAGAUGCGAAGUUCUCUUGCAACACUGAAGGUUGGAGAAGGGUUUGCAAAUCCUCUUGGUUGGUAGGAUAAAUCUCAAGGGCAUACUGGUAAGAGUGAAUUGGAGGUCAGUGUUAGGGAUAAAAUACGAGA